This 432-nucleotide ribosomal RNA is filed under the name uncultured bacterium. RNAcentral's name for it is "partial 16S ribosomal RNA". It matches the Rfam family "Bacterial small subunit ribosomal RNA", at positions 29 to 506 of the family's 1533-position model. The record is from RNAcentral.
AACGAACGCUGGCGGCAGGCUUAACACAUGCAAGUCGAACGCACCUUUCGGGGUGAGUGGCAGACGGGUGAGUAACGCGUGGGAAUCUACCCUUCUCUACGGGAUAGCUCCGGGAAACUGGAAUUAAUACCGUAUACGUCCUGAGGGAGAAAGAUUUAUCGGGGAAGGAUGAGCCCGCGUUGGAUUAGCUAGUUGGUGGGGUAAAGGCCUACCAAGGCGACGAUCCAUAGCUGGUCUAAGAGGAUGAUCAGCCACAUUGGGACUGAGACACGGCCCAAACUCCUACGGGAGGCAGCAGUGGGGAAUAUUGGACAAUGGGCGCAAGCCUGAUCCAGCCAUGCCGCGUGAGUGAUGAAGGCCCUAGGGUUGUAAAGCUCUUUCAGUGGGGACGAUAAUGACGGUACCCACAGAAGAAACCCCGGCUAACUUCGU